GAAGAGAGUAAGUCUCCUCAUUUCAACACUUGUGGAAACUUACAGUGGGCAAGGUGGAAAUCAAGUAGCUUCAUUCUGAAUCAACUCCAACUGUGUGGAGUUAACAGAGUGUUCCUUCAUUUCUAAAUGGUACUUCAAUUGAAAAAAAAAAAAUCCUGGGGAAACCAUCCCCACUGAGUUUGUCAGUGGUGUAGAGAAGUGGGUGCAGCUAAAUCGGGAUUGGAUAAGAGCUCUGCCUGAAAUGAAGGUAUACAACCCAGAAGACCGCGGGAGUGACCUGAGCAAGGGAGGGACUUGAAAACAUGGGGAAGAUAAAGAUACAG
This is a long non-coding RNA of Prionailurus viverrinus (fishing cat), 323 nucleotides long. RefSeq lists it as uncharacterized. The transcript has 3 exons. The record is from RefSeq and is a predicted model, not a curated record. Lineage: Eukaryota; Metazoa; Chordata; Mammalia; Carnivora; Felidae.